Stipitochalara longipes BDJ is the source of this 138-nucleotide non-coding RNA. NCBI's taxonomy places the organism in Eukaryota, Fungi, Ascomycota, Leotiomycetes, Helotiales, Hamatocanthoscyphaceae. The record is from the annotation of a GenBank genome assembly.
GGGGGUGUGGUUCAAUGGUAGAACAUGCACGCGUUGGGCUAGCUCCUGCCGUCCCACCUUCGGGUGGAGAGGCUGUAUCUACGGAUAGAGGAGUUCCUUUCGAGGUGUCAGAUGCUGGUUCGAAUCCGGCCACCUCCA